GACGAACGCUGGCGGCGUGCUUAACACAUGCAAGUCGAACGGAAAGGCCUGCUUUCCCUUGUGGAUUGCGGGUACUCGCGUGGCGAACGGGUGAGUAACACGUGAGUGAUCUGCCCCCAACUUGGGUAUAAGCCUGGGAAACUGGGUCUAAUUCCCGAUAGGACUGCAGGGUGGUGCCUGUGGUGGAAGACGAUUUUCUAGUGGUUGGGGAUGAGCUCGCGGCCUAUCAGCUUGUUGGUGGGGUAAUGGCCUACCAAGGCGGCGACGGGUAGCCGGCCUGAGAGGGUGGACGGCCACAGUGGGACUGAGAUACGGCCCAGACUCCUACGGGAGGCAGCAGUGGGGAAUAUUGCACAAUGGGCGGAAGCCUGAUGCAGCGACGCAGCGUGGGGGAUGACGGCCUUCGGGUGGUAAACUCCUUUCGACCGCGAGGAAGCCACCUGGUUGGAAGGGUGGUGACGGUAGUGGUAGAAGAAGCACCGGCUAACUACGUG
This 494-nucleotide ribosomal RNA is filed under the name uncultured bacterium. Its description in RNAcentral is "partial 16S ribosomal RNA". It matches the Rfam family "Bacterial small subunit ribosomal RNA", at positions 28 to 507 of the family's 1533-position model. The record is from RNAcentral.